RNAcentral lists this ribosomal RNA (255 nucleotides) under Salmonella enterica subsp. enterica serovar Amager. RNAcentral describes it as "partial 23S ribosomal RNA". It matches the Rfam family "Bacterial large subunit ribosomal RNA", at positions 1088 to 1342 of the family's 2925-position model. Lineage: Bacteria; Pseudomonadati; Pseudomonadota; Gammaproteobacteria; Enterobacterales; Enterobacteriaceae. The record is from RNAcentral.
GACAGCCAGGAUGUUGGCUUAGAAGCAGCCAUCAUUUAAAGAAAGCGUAAUAGCUCACUGGUCGAGUCGGCCUGCGCGGAAGAUGUAACGGGGCUAAACCAUGCACCGAAGCUGCGGCAGCGACACUGUGUGUUGUUGGGUAGGGGAGCGUUCUGUAAGCCUGCGAAGGUGGCCUGUGAGGGUUGCUGGAGGUAUCAGAAGUGCGAAUGCUGACAUAAGUAACGAUAAAGCGGGUGAAAAGCCCGCUCGCCGGAA